Molecule: ribosomal RNA, 459 nt
Filed under: uncultured Lysobacterales bacterium
Lineage: Bacteria; Pseudomonadati; Pseudomonadota; Gammaproteobacteria; Lysobacterales
Description: bacterial SSU rRNA
Rfam family: Bacterial small subunit ribosomal RNA
Source: RNAcentral
ACGGGAGGCAGCAGUGGGGAAUAUUGGACAAUGGGCGCAAGCCUGAUCCAGCCAUGCCGCGUGUGUGAAGAAGGCCUUCGGGUUGUAAAGCACUUUUGUCCGGAAAGAAAAGCAUUCGGUUAAUAACCGGGUGUCAUGACGGUACCGGAAGAAUAAGCACCGGCUAACUUCGUGCCAGCAGCCGCGGUAAUACGAAGGGUGCAAGCGUUACUCGGAAUUACUGGGCGUAAAGCGUGCGUAGGUGGUUCGUUAAGUCUGUCGUGAAAGCCCCGGGCUCAACCUGGGAAUGGCGAUGGAUACUGGCGGGCUAGAGUGCGGUAGAGGAGAGUGGAAUUCCCGGUGUAGCAGUGAAAUGCGUAGAGAUCGGGAGGAACAUCAGUUGCGAAGGCGGCUCUCUGGACCAGCACUGACACUGAGGCACGAAAGCGUGGGGAGCAAACAGGAUUAGAUACCCUGGUA